GACACUUUAGCUUAGUGGUGGAGCAUACGAUUGCAAGAUUUGAAUAUCGUGAGGUCCCGUGUUCGACCCACGGAAGUGUCU
Mycena maculata is the source of this 81-nucleotide non-coding RNA. NCBI's taxonomy places the organism in Eukaryota, Fungi, Basidiomycota, Agaricomycetes, Agaricales, Mycenaceae. The record is from the annotation of a GenBank genome assembly.